This 377-nucleotide ribosomal RNA is filed under the name uncultured bacterium. RNAcentral describes it as "bacterial SSU rRNA". It matches the Rfam family "Bacterial small subunit ribosomal RNA", at positions 524 to 898 of the family's 1533-position model. The record is from RNAcentral.
GACAGAGGAUGCAAGCGUUAUCCGGAAUGAUUGGGCGUAAAGCGUCUGUAGGUGGUUUGAAAAGUCUCCUGUCAAAGAUCAGGGCUUAACCCUGGGCCGGCAGGAGAAACUCUCAGGCUAGAGUUUGGUAGGGGCAGAGGGAAUUCCCGGUGGAGCGGUGAAAUGCGUAGAGAUCGGGAGGAACACCAAAGGCGAAAGCACUCUGCUGGGCCAUUACUGACACUGAGAGACGAAAGCGAGGGGAGCAAAUGGGAUUAGAUACCCCAGUAGUCCUCGCCGUAAACGAUGGAUACUAGGUGUUGGGUGGGUUCAAAUCAUUCAGUACCGUAGCUAACGCGUGAAGUAUCCCGCCUGGGGAGUAUGCUCGCAAGAGUGAA